AGGACGAACGCUGGCGGCGUGCUUAACACAUGCAAGUCGAGCGGAAAGGCCCUUCGGGGUACUCGAGCGGCGAACGGGUGAGUAACACGUGAGCAACCUGCCCUUAGCUCCGGGAUAGCUCCGGGAAACCGGAAUUAAUACCGGAUACGACCACGGCCGAUAUCUGCUGUGGUGGAAAGGAUUCCGGCUAAGGAUGGGCUCGCGGCCUAUCAGCUAGUUGGUGGAGUAACGGCCCACCAAGGCGACGACGGGUA
Molecule: ribosomal RNA, 254 nt
Filed under: uncultured bacterium
Lineage: Bacteria
Description: partial small subunit ribosomal RNA
Rfam family: Bacterial small subunit ribosomal RNA
Source: RNAcentral